CAUCUAUGGACGCUCCCAGUCAGCUUCGCUGAUCAAUAUGGCAGAGCUCUUACUUUGAGCUCUAGUUUUGUUACGUGAUCACUUUCACACUUUACUCUGUCAUACUUUAUCAUUCCGCCCAUAUACUGUCUAUGAAGAGAUAGAAGUGAAAGUAAAACUGAUUAAGGAGAAACGUGUUCCUAAAUUACAUCAGUGGGACUGUGCUCACAUAAAAUGGGAUAAACGAACACCUGAGUGACCAAAGGAGAUACUAUCCAGAGAGACCCCUGAUGAUGAAAACAGAGAUAAAAUGAGAGUGGCAAUGUGUGGCUGUGGAAACUGGCAGCAGCCUGCAGCUGUCUGAACUAAUGCUGGACCAACCAUGGAUCUGUCACUGCUAAUUAACCACAGUUUCCCUCUGGUUUCAUUUCUCUCUCUCUCUCCUAACUAAACCCGAAGCCCUCCCCUCUGUCCACCUCUACCCCUCGUUUCUCCACAUCCAUAAAGCCUCUGUGCUAAGGGAGCAGCGCUAGCCUAGAUCUGUCAUGCAUCGUUAGCUUUAUUAAUAUUAGCACUCAUUAUUUAUCUCAUAUUUGUAUGGCAGGUGCUUCUGUGCUGCCUUCCUAUAAACCACUCGCUUACCAGUUAGGCACGAGAGGCCUUGGUUGUUUUAUAACAUUACAUUAUUUUUAUUUUAUAGUUGUUUAACUUCUUGUAAACGAAUGUAUAAACAAAAUAGAGAAGGAAGGAAAUAAAACAUAUAACAGAA
Long non-coding RNA from Paramisgurnus dabryanus, 748 nucleotides. RefSeq lists it as uncharacterized. NCBI's taxonomy places the organism in Eukaryota, Metazoa, Chordata, Actinopteri, Cypriniformes, Cobitidae. The record is from RefSeq and is a predicted model, not a curated record.